GACGAACCGUGCGAACGUUAUUCGGAAUCACUGGGCUUAAAGCGCGUGUAGGCGGAUCGCCGCGUCGGCUGCUGAAAUCCCCCGGCUCAACCGGGGAACGGGCACCGAUACGGGGCGAUCUCGAGGGGGGGUAGGGGGGGUCUGGAACUUCCGGUGGAGCGGUGAAAUGCGUUGAGAUCGGAAGGAACGCCCGUGGCGAAAGCGAGGCCCUGGACCCUUACUGACGCUGAGACGCGAAAGCCAGGGGAGCGAACGGG
RNAcentral lists this ribosomal RNA (257 nucleotides) under uncultured bacterium. Its description in RNAcentral is "partial 16S ribosomal RNA". It matches the Rfam family "Bacterial small subunit ribosomal RNA", at positions 524 to 776 of the family's 1533-position model. The record is from RNAcentral.